RNAcentral lists this ribosomal RNA (460 nucleotides) under uncultured bacterium. RNAcentral's name for it is "partial 16S ribosomal RNA". It matches the Rfam family "Bacterial small subunit ribosomal RNA", at positions 338 to 795 of the family's 1533-position model. The record is from RNAcentral.
CCUACGGGCGGCAGCAGUGAGGAAUAUUGGUCAAUGGACGAGAGUCUGAACCAGCCAAGUAGCGUGAAGGAUGACUGCCCUAUGGGUUGUAAACUUCUUUUAUAUGGGAAUAAAAUGUUCCACGUGUGGGAUUUUGUAUGUACCAUAUGAAUAAGGAUAGGCUAACUCCGUGCCAGCAGCCGCGGUAAUACGGAGGAUCCGAGCGUUAUCCGGAUUUAUUGGGUGUAAAGGGAGCGUAGGUGGAUUGUUAAGUCAGUUGUGAAAGUUUGCGGCUCAACCGUAAAAUUGCAGUUGAAACUGGCAGUAUUGAGUACAGUAGAGGUGGGCGGAAUUCGAGGUGUAGCGGUGAAAUGCUUAGAUAUCACGAAGAACUCCGAUUGCGAAGGCAGCUCACUGGACUGCAACUGACACUGAGGCGCGAAAGUGUGGGGAUCAAACAGGAUUAGAUACCCCUGUAGUC